AAAUUAAAAUAAAGAAUACUGUCUUAACUUAAUUAUAUAUCGAUUUUGAACACACACUUUUACCUUCUCGUAACAACAGAAAAAAUAUUAAGUUAGUGAAACUUGUAUAUCUAGUGAGCAUCCUUUAAAAGUUGAGUAAAGGCGGAAUUUGCCCGGACGUGUUUUUCUGCCAGAGAAGGACUACUAGGAGCCGGAGAAACAGGAGAAUCGAGGCUAUAUAGGAUGAUGAGGUGCCACAAAUUUUGACCCAGCCAACGCCAGUAUUAUUAUUGAGGGAACGGAAGUCCUGCAAGACCUGGAUGUAUCCAGAGCCUGUGCCCUGCUAGGGCUGGUAUAUGCUCUCAACCUCAGCUACCCAAAGGAA
Molecule: long non-coding RNA, 364 nt
Organism: Tachysurus fulvidraco (yellow catfish)
Lineage: Eukaryota; Metazoa; Chordata; Actinopteri; Siluriformes; Bagridae
Exons: 2
Source: RefSeq, a predicted model, not a curated record